CCUACGGGUGGCAGCAGUGGGGAAUAUUGCUCAAUGGGCGAAAGCCUGACGCAGCGACGCCGCGUGAGGGAUGAAGGUCUUCUGAUCGUAAACCUCUGUCAGCAGGGAAGAACGGUCACUGUGCUAAUCAGCAGUGCAUUGACGGUACCUGCAAAGGCAGCACCGGCUCACUCCGUGCCAGCAGCCGCGGUAAUACGGAGGGUGCGAGCGUUAAUCGGAAUUACUGGGCGUAAAGCGCUCGUAGGCGGUAUGUCAAGUCAAGGGUGAAAUCCCCGCGCUCAACGUGGGAACUGCCUUUGAAACUGGCAAACUGGAGUGUGUGAGAGGAGAGUGGAAUUCGAGGUGUAGGAGUGAAAUACGUAGAUAUCGGGAGGAACAUCAGUGGCGAAGGCGACUAGCUGGAACAUAACUGACGCUGAGGAGCGAAAGCGUGGGUAGCAAACAGGAUUAGAUACCCCGGUAGUC
RNAcentral lists this ribosomal RNA (465 nucleotides) under uncultured bacterium. RNAcentral describes it as "partial 16S ribosomal RNA". It matches the Rfam family "Bacterial small subunit ribosomal RNA", at positions 338 to 795 of the family's 1533-position model. The record is from RNAcentral.